CUUGGCUGGUGAUGAUCCUGCUAGUGACGGAGGAGAGCGUGGAGAGAGCGAAAUGAGUCCCGAUUCCGUUCCUGUGUCUCCUGGUGAGCCUGACCCGCUGCCCCAGUUUAAAAGGCCUACAGGGGUUGCCGACAUUAGGGAGGAUAGCAAUGUAGGACCUGAUUCCGCAGAUUCAGAUAACUUGCAGGAGGCAUACGUGGAUUUUGGGAAUAAAGAGGCUAACACA
Molecule: long non-coding RNA, 226 nt
Organism: Asparagus officinalis (garden asparagus)
Lineage: Eukaryota; Viridiplantae; Streptophyta; Magnoliopsida; Asparagales; Asparagaceae
Exons: 3
Source: RefSeq, a predicted model, not a curated record